AGGAGCGUAGCUCAGAUGGUAGAGCACUCACUUAGCAUGCGAGACAUUCGGAGAUCGAUACCCCACGCUUCCA
Molecule: non-coding RNA, 73 nt
Organism: Trichonephila clavipes
Lineage: Eukaryota; Metazoa; Arthropoda; Arachnida; Araneae; Nephilidae
Source: the annotation of a GenBank genome assembly